CAUGCACUGGUGGGGUCCCUCAGCCUGGCCUGCGGGGAUCAGGCCAAAACUGACAACCUGACAUCCCCCGAGGGGUCCCAGAUUUCAGAGGGUGCAGGCCAGGCUGAGGGACCCCACUGGUGCACA
Molecule: non-coding RNA, 126 nt
Organism: Myotis brandtii (Brandt's bat)
Lineage: Eukaryota; Metazoa; Chordata; Mammalia; Chiroptera; Vespertilionidae
Source: Rfam